RNAcentral lists this ribosomal RNA (230 nucleotides) under uncultured bacterium. Its description in RNAcentral is "partial 16S ribosomal RNA". It matches the Rfam family "Bacterial small subunit ribosomal RNA", at positions 568 to 796 of the family's 1533-position model. The record is from RNAcentral.
CGCGUAGGCGGUCGGGUAAGUCGGGUGUGAAAUUCCGGGGCUCAACCCUGCGAACUGCAUCCGAUACUGCUCGACUUGAGAGAGGUAGGGGCGAGUGGAAUCCCCGGUGUAGCGGUGGAAUGCGUAGAUAUCGGGAAGAACACCGGUGGCGAAGGCGGCUCGCUGGACCUUUUCUGACGCUGAAGCGCGAAAGCGUGGGGAGCAAACAGGAUUAGAUACCCUGGUAGUCC